Molecule: ribosomal RNA, 230 nt
Filed under: uncultured bacterium
Lineage: Bacteria
Description: partial 16S ribosomal RNA
Rfam family: Bacterial small subunit ribosomal RNA
Source: RNAcentral
AAAGGGAGCGUAGGCGGUCCUAUAAGUCAGUGGUGAAAGCCUUCAGCUUAACUGAAGAAUUGCCAUUGAAACUGUAGGACUCGAGUAUGGUUGAGGUCACUGGAAUAUAACAUGUAGCGGUGAAAUGCUUAGAUAUGUUAUAGAACACCAAUUGCGAAGGCAGGUGACUAAGCCAUAACUGACGCUGAGGCUCGAAAGCGUGGGGAGCAAACAGGAUUAGAUACCCUAGU